Molecule: unclassified non-coding RNA, 1111 nt
Filed under: Hevea brasiliensis (rubber tree)
Lineage: Eukaryota; Viridiplantae; Streptophyta; Magnoliopsida; Malpighiales; Euphorbiaceae
Source: RNAcentral
GAGGUGGUUGCCAUGGUGGAAAUGUAUGGACCUUUCUUGCUUUUGUCUCUGUAGAUUACCCUUCAAUAACAAUUAAAAUGAAAAUCUAACUUGCUUCACUAACAGAGGAAGAGAAGGAUUUGGUGGUUGGCUAGGGAAGGGUAGCUGUUUAGGGAGGAGGUGGACAUUAUUACUACCCAUCUUAUCUGACCCAUUUCCAUUACAAUGCAGUUGCUAAUUUUGUUGUUGUGUUUGUUGAAUAUAAUUGAGGAAUCGAAUCUGCUUUUGGUUUUUCAGUUUCCCUUAUUACCCUUGUGUUUUUGAGUUUUUUUAGAGAGGAAUCAUCAUAUACGUGGUAGCUACAACGUAUCCACGUUCCAUAUCUGCUUUAUCAAGUCAGUGACCUCAUUUCUUUCAUUCACGUUGUUUGGCUUUGCUACCUGCCACUGCAUUGGUUGAGAGAUCCGUGUUUUGCGGACAUAAUCUUUUUUUAUCUUUCCUUAUCCUGCAGUAAAAUAUACGUAAAUGUACUUAGUACUCACAAAUAUUUGUCUUUUAAAUUCAUUGUUAGUUUGAAUGGAAAUUGAGAUGGGGGGAAUCAGUGGCUUUCUCGCAUAUGGUGACAACCCAGUUUAACAUUUUCUUCUUUUCUUUUAGCAUUUGAUACCAUUUAUAGGCUCAGCUGAUGACGUUGCGAGUUUCUUGCAUUGUUUUCAAUGCGACAGCUUCAGGCCAUGUGUAGCCAGAGGACCAAAGAAAGAAAACGUUAUUGUUCCCUUUUUUGUGGGUUUGGCAUCUUUGCUAACGAGUAGAAACCAAGUGGAUUUCUGCCGUUAAAACUGAGAAGCCUUAAAGUUCCUCACUAAAUGACAAAAUGUCAUCUUCCUUGAGUGCUUAGCAGCUAAAGAAAUAAGGAACAAUUACCCCGCCACCACCGACACACAUUGUGUAGGAAAUACUAUUGUUGCAUCCAGCAAUUUACUUGAUCCAAAUGGUGAAAUGUUUAAACUUUUAAAGAUAAUACAGAUUGUAAAACUUUUAAAGAUAAGAUGAUACAGAUGGUGAUUAAUGUUAACACUAAAUAUUUGUAUUAACUUUCAAAUUGCAGGAGCAUCCGCAACAGUACUGAAAG